This 256-nucleotide ribosomal RNA is filed under the name uncultured bacterium. RNAcentral's name for it is "partial 16S ribosomal RNA". It matches the Rfam family "Bacterial small subunit ribosomal RNA", at positions 524 to 776 of the family's 1533-position model. The record is from RNAcentral.
UACGUAGGGUGCAAGCGUUAAUCGGAAUUACUGGGCGUAAAGCGUGCGCAGGCGGCUAUGCAAGACAGAUGUGAAAUCCCCGGGCUCAACCCUGGGAACUGCAUUUGUGACUGCAUGGCUAGAGUACGGUAGAGGGGGAUGGAAUUCCGCGUGUAGCAGUGAAAUGCGUAGAUAUGCGGAGGAACACCGAUGGCGAAGGCAAUCCCCUGGACCUGUGACUGACGCUCAUGCACGAAAGCGUGGGGGAGCAAACAGG